UAUUGUUACUUUGGCAGAUUAGUGUGAUGAAUUUAGAAUUCAUUUAUGUAAUUAUUUUACAAGUAAUA
This 68-nucleotide transfer RNA is filed under the name Boreonectes alpestris. RNAcentral's name for it is "transfer RNA-Leu". The record is from RNAcentral. RNAcentral also lists the same sequence under 4 other names. Lineage: Eukaryota; Metazoa; Arthropoda; Insecta; Coleoptera; Dytiscidae.